GGCGCCGACGGCGCGACCGAGCAGGUGCCCGCGCAGGCGCCGCGGCAGGCCGCGCCGGGCAGGCCGGGCCGGUUCGUGCUCGGCGGCAUCGC
Molecule: transfer RNA, 92 nt
Filed under: Microtetraspora sp. NBRC 13810
Lineage: Bacteria; Bacillati; Actinomycetota; Actinomycetes; Streptosporangiales; Streptosporangiaceae
Description: tRNA-Ala
Source: RNAcentral